RNA transcript from Phragmites australis (common reed), 2137 nucleotides. It is a transcript of the gene named protein trichome berefringence-like 7, with no coding region annotated. The transcript has 5 exons. The record is from RefSeq and is a predicted model, not a curated record. Lineage: Eukaryota; Viridiplantae; Streptophyta; Magnoliopsida; Poales; Poaceae.
UUUCCCACCGGGUACUUGCCCGCUCCAACGUGGCCCCCACCACAAACCCACAGCCAUGUGGGCCGUACCAACUCCAGACCCCACGUGUCAGUGACCGCAAAUCCCUCCGUUCUCCGAACCGAGGCAGGCGACCCAGCUGUUGCCACAACUGCCUCCUCCUCGCCGCCUCGCGCCUCCCCUGGUUUCCCGCCGUCACGCGAGCUCACAGCUCAGGGGCCAGCUCGGCAGCACCACGCCGACGCCACGCGGCGAGCUUGGAGUUUCUCCAGGGCUUCUAAGGCAGGGUACUCCGAGCGGAGCCAAUCGGAGGGGAGGCGCCUGCCGCUGCAUACUACUGAUUUGGUGGGCGGGGAGUCGAGGGAUGGGAGAUCUGGCUUCGGCGGCGGUGGCGAGAUGGUGAGCGCGGGCACCAGACGGAGCGGCCCGGCGCGAGUCGCAGCAAGGGGCGGCGCGGGGCCCGGGAGCCCUCGCGUCUCUGCUGCCGCGGCUGCUUUGGCUGCGUUGCGGCGCAGGUGGUGGGCGCCCUCGGGCGCGUCGCUGGAGCGCGCCGCGCGCGCGUUCCUGCUGGCCUCCGCGGCGCUGGUCCUCAGCUGCGCGCUCUACCUCUACGUGUUCCGGUACGUCGGCCGGGGGCGCGGGGUGGCCGCGGGCUUCGCCGAAGACGGCCUCGACAGCGAGCCGUGCGACGUGUUCGACGGCGCCUGGGUGCCCGAUGCGGCCCACCACACGCUCUACAACAGCUCCGAGUGCCCGUUCGCGGAGCGGGGGUUCGACUGCCUGACCAACGGGCGGCAGGACACGGGUUACCUCAGGUGGCGGUGGAAGCCGCGGCGCUGCGACGUGCCGCGGUUCGCCGCGCGGGCGGCGCUGGAGCGCCUGCGCGGGAAGCGGGUGGUGUUCGUGGGGGACUCCAUGAGCCGCACGCAGUGGGAGUCCUUCAUCUGCAUGCUCAUGACCGGGGUGGACGACCCCAGGACCGUCUACGAGGUGAACGGGAAUGAGAUCACCAAGAUCAUACGGCACCUGGCGGUUAGGUUUGCGUCGCACGGCCUCACCGUGGAGUUCUUCCGGUCGGUGUUCCUUGUGCAGCAGCACCCUGCGCCGCGGCACGCCCCGAAGAGGGUCAAGUCGACCUUGAGGCUGGACAGGAUGGAUGAUUUCAGCCGGAAAUGGGCGAAUGCGGAUGUGCUGAUUUUCAACACCGGGCAUUGGUGGACUCCGACAAAAUUAUUUGAUACGGGUUGCUAUUUUCAGUCUGGACAUGCUCUUAAAUUGGGUACAACCAUCGAUGCUGCUUUCAGGAUGGCAUUGGAGACCUGGGCUUCAUGGGUGGAAAAAAGAGUUGAUUUAAACCAAACACAUGUCUUCUUUCGCACAUAUGAGCCAUCCCAUUGGAGCGACCCAAGCCAAAAGACAUGUGAAGUAACAGAACAGCCUUCAUCUGAGGCCAAAGGAAAUGAUAAGAGUGAAUUUGGAGUUAUACUUGCUGAUGUUGUGGCAAAAAUGAGCUCUCCUGUUACUGUACUAAAUGUAACUUUAAUGGGAGCGUUCAGAAGUGAUGCUCAUGUUGGCAAUUGGAGUUAUCCUCCAACUAUACUUGAUUGCAGCCACUGGUGUCUCCCUGGAGUCCCCGAUGCUUGGAAUGAACUAGUAUUUUCGUACCUUUUAACAAAUGAUUGGUGAAAGAUGACGGGGUGACUGUUGACUGUUGUGACAGAAACAUGAUUCACCACACUUGUGUAUCUUGAUAUUUAAUCUUUUCAGCAAUUGAGGAUUAACAUACGUCCUGGGAACAGCUGCAUCUGUCAGUUGCACAGGUUGGUGAAACAUGGUGGCGUAAAUGUUGUGGCAGCAUACUCGAUUUACCGUUACCUGUGUAUUGUGAUAUUUGAUUUUAUCAGCUAUAGAGGAUUAAGAUCUAUAGAGGGAUUAAGAUACGUCCUGGAAGCACUACAUUUGCUAGGUGGCUCUCUGGACUUCCGCAUUCUUUCCUUGACACAUACAAGGUGAAGCAUGCAUCCUGGUGUGUAAAUUUUGUAUCAUUUCUUUUGGUUGCUGAGGAUUAGAAAUCAAUGACAUUUCGCCAGCCUGUAUGUACUAACAGGUCAUUUAUGUUGUCAAAAUCAAAUAAGUGUUU